AUUGAACGCUGGCGGCAGGCCUAACACAUGCAAGUCGAACGAGCGGCGGACGGGUGAGUAAUGUCUGGGAAUCUGCCCGAUGGAGGGGGAUAACUACUGGAAACGGUAGCUAAUACCGCAUACCAUCAGAUGUGCCCAGAUGGGAUUAGCUAGUUGGUGGGGUAACGGCUCACCGAGGCGACGAUCCCUAGCUGGUCUGAGAGGAUGACCAGCCACACUGGAACUGAGACACGGUCCAUACUCAUACGGGAGGCAGCAGUGGGGAAUAUGGCACAAUGGGCGGAAGCCUGAUGCAGCCAUGCCGCGUGUAUGAAGAAGGCCUUAGGGUUGUAAAGUACUUUCAGCGGGGAGGCGUUACCCGCAGAAGAAGCACCGGCUAACUCCGUGCCAGCCGCCGCGGUAAUUC
This 406-nucleotide ribosomal RNA is filed under the name uncultured bacterium. Its description in RNAcentral is "partial 16S ribosomal RNA". It matches the Rfam family "Bacterial small subunit ribosomal RNA", at positions 30 to 526 of the family's 1533-position model. The record is from RNAcentral.